UCACAAACUCCAUGAGCGACUCCACAUC
This 28-nucleotide small RNA is filed under the name Bombyx mori (domestic silkworm). Its description in RNAcentral is "ovarian small RNA-24954". The record is from RNAcentral. Lineage: Eukaryota; Metazoa; Arthropoda; Insecta; Lepidoptera; Bombycidae.